RNAcentral lists this ribosomal RNA (1519 nucleotides) under uncultured Eubacteriales bacterium. RNAcentral's name for it is "bacterial SSU rRNA". It matches the Rfam family "Bacterial small subunit ribosomal RNA". The record is from RNAcentral. Lineage: Bacteria; Bacillati; Bacillota; Clostridia; Eubacteriales.
AGGGUUUGAUUAUGGCUCAGGACGAACGCUGGCGGCGUGCCUAACACAUGCAAGUCGAGCGGGGAUUAGCAUUUGAUUUAUCAUAUGCGAAGUCCUAGCGGCGGACGGGUGAGUAACGCGUGAGCAACCUGCCUAUUAGAGGGGGAUAACACAUCGAAAGGUGUGCUAAUACCGCAUAUGGUAUUUGCUUUGCAUAAAGCGAAUAUAAAAGGAGCAAUCCGCUAAUAGAUGGGCUCGCGUCCCAUUAGCUAGUUGGUAGAGUAAAAGCCUACCACAGGGCCGACCGAUGGGUAGGCCGACCUGAAGAGGGUGAUCGGCCACAUUGGGACUGAGACACGGCCCAGACUCCUACGGGAGGCCAGCAGUGGGGAAUAUUGCGCAAUGGGGGAAACCCUGACGCAGCAACGCCGCGUGAAGGAAGAAGGCUGGCGGGUCGUAAACUUUUUGUCUUCCGGGAAGAAAAAAAAUGACGGUACCGAAGGAGGAAGCCACGGCUAACUACGUGCCAGCAGCCGCGGUAAUACGUAGGUGGCGAGCGUUGUCCGGAAUUACUGGGUGUAAAGGGUGCGUAGGCGGGGAUGCAAGUCAGAUGUGAAAGACCGGGGCUCAACUCCCGGGGCUGCAUUUGAAACUGCAACUCUUGAGUGCAGGAGAGGAAAGCGGAAUUCCUAGUGUAGCGGUGAAAUGCGUAGAGAUUAGGAGGAACACCAGUGGCGAAGGCGGCUUUCUGGACUGUAACUGACGCUGAGGCACGAAAGCGUGGGGAGCGAACAGGAUUAGAUACCCUGGUAGUCCACGCCGUAAACGAUGGAUACUAGGUGUAGGGGGUAUCGACCCCCUCUGUGCCGGAGUUAACACAAUAAGUAUCCCACCUGGGGAGUACGACCGCAAGGUUGAAACUCAAAGGAAUUGACGGGGGCCCGCACAAGCAGUGGAGCAUGUGGUUUAAUUCGAAGCAACGCGAAGAACCUUACCAGGGCUUGACAUCCGCAGAAUUCUCUAGAGAUAGGGAAGUGCCUUCGGGAACUGCGAGACAGGUGGUGCAUGGUUGUCGUCAGCUCGUGUUCGUGGAGAUGUUGGGUUAAGUCUCCGCAACGAGCGCAACCCUUAUCGUUAGUUGCCAGCAUUAAGUUGGGCACUCUAGCGAGACUGCCGGUGACAAAUCGGAGGAAGGUGAGGAUAACGUCAAAUCUAUCAUGCCCCUUAUGUCCUGGGCUUACACACGUGCUACAAUGGCUGUUAACAGAGGGAAGCGAAGCAGUAAUGUCGGAAGCGAAUCCCCAAAAGCACUUCUUCAGUUCUGCGAAUGAGUCCACGACGCGUAACAACUCGCCUGCAUGAAGUUGGAAUUGCUAGUAAUCGCGGAUCAGCAUGCCGCGGUGAAUACGUUCCCGGGCCUUGUACACACCGCCCGUCACACCAUGAGAGUUGGUAACACCCGAAGCCUGUGAGCUAACCGUAAGGAGGCAGCAGUCGAAGGUGGGGCUGAUGAUUAGGGUGAAGUCGUAACAAGGUAACC